This is a non-coding RNA of Megalopta genalis, 1441 nucleotides long. The record is from RefSeq and is a predicted model, not a curated record. NCBI's taxonomy places the organism in Eukaryota, Metazoa, Arthropoda, Insecta, Hymenoptera, Halictidae.
UCCGUGACGUUUUAUGCGGCGACGUUCAUUGGGACGAGGAAAGUGAUAUCGCAUACUUGUCCUAUUCAAUGUUAGACUCCAUAGAUUUGUCACCGCUGGUGAACCAAGUUGACCCGGCGAUAUGAGUCGCCUACAUAUAAAUAUAACCUUUUACAGAUAUCUACGGUAUAAUCUUAGCUUGAAUAAUACAUCGACGAAUCAAUUACAUACGGAAGAAUUUGGUAAACAGUAGAACAUAAUCUAUUCAGCAUAUUGUACCAAUAUAACGAUUAAUCCUAUAAUAUCAAAGGAAAUUACUCUUUCUUUUUGGAAAGUAACUCGUAAAACGAGGCCAACUACACUUGGUUACACUCCUCGCGAACGAUACGCUACACUUACACUGCUACACACUAGCAGGGGCAACCGAGGUAUCUCUUGCCAUGAACAUUCCCAAGUUUUGUUAACGGUUCUGUACACGUAGCGCCAAUCUACAUAAAUAUGUAGAUUCUCUAUGAAGAAUUUAUCCCUUUUAUCCCUACCAUUUUAGAAGCUAUGGCCCAGAGUGGUGCACAUACAUGUACGGUAUGUAGGUAGGUUACAUCAGUUACAAUACAAUGUAUGCACAUAAAUAUAAGCGAAGCAAAUCAUUCCGCAUUCGUAGCUUUCAUACCAUAGAUAUGUAUAUCCAAUGAUCUGUAUUACAGUAAUAAGACCUACUCCUGCAUACUUUUCUUACUCCCUAAGCUGGCGCGCAUAUCCCCACCAUUUUACUGCGCAUCCAAUCCGCAGUGGAUUCUGUCUCAGCGAUGAAUUAUCAGCCAAUUAGAGCAAAGAGAAUUUUUACAUCGACCCUCGCUAAUGGAUCAAGCUGCGGCCUUGAGGUGUAGGACCCAUUACUGUAUAAAAGUUGCAUAUGUACUUAUCAGUGUAAAUAUUUCAACUGAAUGAAUAUAAAAUAAUAAACAGUAAGUCACGAUGACUGAUAUGACAGUGUGUGUAAAAAUUAAUGAAAAUAAUGAGUGUAUUUAUGAAGAUAAUAGCAGCGUCGAACUGAAUGAAAAUAAUUUGAGCGUAUUAAUUUCGUGUUUUAAACAAACUCAGAUAAAAAUUAAUCAUUUCUUGACUAACUUAAUAGAAAAACAAGACAGUUCCGUCAAUGCCGAAAAUCGGCUAACAUCGGAAAGCGAGUCGGAUUUUGAAGAGGAGAUCGAAGUUAACCCUAAGAAAUGCAAAUUGAUCGAUUAACAGUAUAUCAUAAUUGUUUAUUGCAUUUGUUGUUGUAGAUUUUUUUGUAUGGCACUUGAAAAUAGUACACAGUAGUUCGUUUUCAUACGAUGUGAUGGAUUUGUCGUUGCAACCGUGUUAACAAGUAUCUUGCCCUGCAAGUUUUGUGAUGCUGGAAAGCGAUAAAUCGAUUAUAAGAGAACGAAAGUUACAUCACCGGUAAAGGAAAACGUGACCG